RNAcentral lists this ribosomal RNA (497 nucleotides) under uncultured bacterium. Its description in RNAcentral is "partial 16S ribosomal RNA". It matches the Rfam family "Bacterial small subunit ribosomal RNA", at positions 28 to 507 of the family's 1533-position model. The record is from RNAcentral.
GAUGAACGCUGGCGGCGUGCCUAAUACAUGCAAGUCGAGCGAACGGAUGAGAAGCUUGCUUCUCUGAUGUUAGCGGCGGACGGGUGAGUAACACGUGGAUAACCUACCUAUAAGACUGGGAUAACUUCGGGAAACCGGAGCUAAUACCGGAUAAUAUUUUGAACCGCAUGGUUCAAAAGUGAAAGACGGUCUUGCUGUCACUUAUAGAUGGAUCCGCGCUGCAUUAGCUAGUUGGUAAGGUAACGGCUUACCAAGGCAACGAUGCAUAGCCGACGCAAGAGGUGGGUAGGCGCCCCCAGGAAGUGACACCCUACCCAGGCCCCGAGGGGAGGCCGAAGUAGGGAAUCUCGCGAAAAGGGGGAAACAGUGCAGAAGAGACGGCGGGGUAGGGAAGAAGGGCUGCGGGCCGUAAAACGUUUUUUUUGGGGAAAACCAAGUUUGUAAGUAACGGUGCCCAAUUGGCGGGAACUGAUAAAGAAACCCCGGCCAAAUAAGUG